CCUACGGGAUGCAGCAGUGGGGAAUAUUGGGCAAUGGGCGCAAGCCUGACCCAGCAACGCCGCGUGCAGGAAGAAGGCCCUCGGGUUGUAAACUUCUUUUCUCAGGUACGAAGCAUGUGACGGUACCUGAGGAAUAAGCCACGGCUAACUACGUGCCAGCAGCCGUGGUAAGACGUAGGUGGCAAGCGUUAUCCGGAUUUACUGGGUGUAAAGGGUGUGUAGGCGGGAAGGCAAGUCAGAUGUGAAACCCACGGGCUCAACCUGUGGACUGCAUUUGAAACUGUGUUUCUUGAGUACUGGGGAGGCAGACGGAAUUCCUAGUGUAGCGGUGAAAUGCGUAGAUAUUAGGAGGAACACCAGUGGCGAAGGCGGUCUGCUGGACAGCAACUGACGCUGAGGCGCGAAAGCGUGGGGAGCAAACAGGAUUAGAUACCCCAGUAGUC
RNAcentral lists this ribosomal RNA (443 nucleotides) under uncultured bacterium. RNAcentral's name for it is "partial 16S ribosomal RNA". It matches the Rfam family "Bacterial small subunit ribosomal RNA", at positions 338 to 795 of the family's 1533-position model. The record is from RNAcentral.